This 544-nucleotide ribosomal RNA is filed under the name uncultured archaeon. RNAcentral's name for it is "bacterial SSU rRNA". It matches the Rfam family "Archaeal small subunit ribosomal RNA", at positions 331 to 879 of the family's 1478-position model. The record is from RNAcentral.
UGCAGCAGGCGCGAAAACUUUACAAUGCGGGAAACCGUGAUAAGGGAACUCCGAGUGCCCGUAAAAUCGGGCUGUCCAUCUGUUUAAAUAACAGGUGAAGAAAGGGCCGGGCAAGACCGGUGCCAGCCGCCGCGGUAAUACCGGCGGCUCGAGUGGUGGCCACUAUUACUGGGCUUAAAGCGUUCGUAGCUGGUCUGUUAAGUCUCUGGGGAAAUCUACUGGCUUAACCAAUAGGCGUUUCAGGGAUACUGGCAGACUAGGGACCGGGAGAGGUGAGGGGUACUCCAGGGGUAGGAGUGAAAUCCUGUAAUCCUUGGGGGACCACCUGUGGCGAAGGCGCCUCACCAGAACGGCUCCGACAGUGAGGGACGAAAGCUGGGGGAGCAAACCGGAUUAGAUACCCGGGUAGUCCCAGCCGUAAACGAUGCGCGUUAGGUGUAUCGGUGACCACGAGUCACCGAGGUGCCGAAGAGAAAUCGUGAAACGUGCCGCCUGGGAAGUACGGUCGCAAGGCUGAAACUUAAAGGAAUUGGCGGGGGAGCAC